This 414-nucleotide ribosomal RNA is filed under the name Megophrys major. RNAcentral describes it as "Xenophrys major partial 16S ribosomal RNA". It matches the Rfam family "Archaeal large subunit ribosomal RNA", at positions 1927 to 2492 of the family's 2987-position model. Lineage: Eukaryota; Metazoa; Chordata; Amphibia; Anura; Megophryidae. The record is from RNAcentral.
CUUGCACCCUAUAAGAGGUAAUGCCUGCCCAGUGACCAUGUGUUCAACGGCCGCGGUAUUCUGACCGCGCGAAGGUAGCGUAAUCACUUGUCUUCUAAAUAAAGACUAGUAUGAACGGCCACACGAAGACUUAACUGUCUCCCCUGUCCAAUCAGUGAAACUGAUCUCCUUGUGCAGAAGCGAGGAUAAACCCAUAAGACGAGAAGACCCUAUGGAGCUUUAAACUUAAUAUUAACUAUUUUUAUAAUCCCCUCUAAGGAAUUAACAAAUAACCCUUUCAACUUAAUAUUAGUUUUAGGUUGGGGCGACCAUGGAGAAAAAAAUAUCCUCCCUGAUGACUUUUAAACCAAGAGCUACAGCUCUAAGUAUUAAGAUACUUAACUUCCAUUGACCCAUUUUAUGAUCAACGAACCA